UUUCAUGUGAGGAUGAAAAUCGCUUUGGUGAAAGGCACAAAGUCUGAGGCCUGCUACCUAUUUAUUCUUGUAGAGUUUUUUUUUUCUUUUGGUUUUUUUUUUUUUUUUUGUUGCUGCUAUUGUUAAAACUCAUGUUUUUAUACAUUUUGGUUUAAAGGCAUAUUAGAGUCUAUCAUAGUAUGUCAAGGACCUAAAAAAUCCUUGGUUGAAAAUGAUGUAGCUACUUAUUUAGUAGACGUUUCUCAUGGUAAUGACGGGCUAGUAUAUAUAUUUUUUCCGUUUUAUAGCUAAUUUAAUCAAUCAAUUUGCGUGGAUUGGAGCUAAAAGAAUUGAUGAAGCAGGGUAGAAGGAAUCUGACAAAGAGGAGGCAUGCAUGGGCUGCAUUAUAUCUGAGGGUGACCUGUUUAUGGAUGGUACUUAGUUGGGCUUAUUGGAACCAAUCGCAAAAAGUAGCCUGUAUCCAAGCCAACAUUACCAGGCAUGGAUGGUUGUACCUGCAACAAACGAGCUCAAACAUGUUAUCCAACAUUGUACGGGAUUGCACAAAUACGAUUACAUAAAUUGUGUUAUUUGUAUUAAUAGUACCCUUUUAGAAAAGACAAAAAAGCGGGUCGGGAGGUUUUAGGCACAUUUGAUGUGUUGCAGGUGAUUCUACUUUGUUUCUUGAAGAAGGUACUGCUGUAAUGGGCUCAGAGAAGGAUGAGAUCUGUUGAUAAUUGGCCUUUAUGGUUGAAGAUUACAGUGGAUAGGCUUGAAGAGAACAUACUUGUGGCCUAUAACUAAAGACUGUAAUCAAGGACGGUUAUAUUCAUCGGAUCUUCUUUUGAUUCAACUUUGUAGAUAGAAUGAUUGUUCCAAACAGAAGAUUUGAACCGGGUAAUUAACAAAUGUGGAUUGUUCGCAAUUAAUUGUUGUAUUUCAAAUUUGAUGUGUUGUUGUACCUAAACUACCUAUUAGUCAAAAAGCAGAGACGGAAGUUGACGUUGUGAUGGCAACUCCGGAUAUCAUACCACUGAUAAAAGGUUGUACAAGUUCUAUGGUUGAUAGUUGAUACCUCAUGUAAGCUAUGAUAAGGUCUUAUCAAUCAUGUGGAAGCUAAAAGUUUAAUUGCAUUCGGUUGUACAUGUGCAUGAUUUAAUUUAAUUUAAUGUAUAAUCUUACUAUAAUUUUUUGUUUUGUUUUGGUAAGAUGCACUGGUGCCGUCCUUUGGUUCCUAUGUAGAUGUUUUGUAGGCAGUUUGUAGCAUAUUUUCCUAAGGUUAUAAUUAUUACAUGUUGUAAGUUGUGUUCAACUGAUACAUAGCUAAGGUUAGUGGUUGCAAUUUGUUGCUAUAUGCUUUGUAUUUAUGGACGUGACUUUUUA
Long non-coding RNA from Helianthus annuus (common sunflower), 1362 nucleotides. RefSeq lists it as uncharacterized. Lineage: Eukaryota; Viridiplantae; Streptophyta; Magnoliopsida; Asterales; Asteraceae. The record is from RefSeq and is a predicted model, not a curated record. The transcript has 4 exons.